RNAcentral lists this long non-coding RNA (21133 nucleotides) under Gossypium barbadense (sea-island cotton). RNAcentral's name for it is "long non-coding RNA (GBAR_LNC023446)". Lineage: Eukaryota; Viridiplantae; Streptophyta; Magnoliopsida; Malvales; Malvaceae. The record is from RNAcentral.
UCAUUUAAAACCUAGACAUAAAAUUUCAUCAAAUUUUAAACUUUUCAAACAUAUUCAAGCUGUCCCUUAAAAAACUUACAAGGCCCAUAUCAUGCUUUAAAACCUUUAUAUAUCGAUCAAUAGUUUGAUAGUCUGAUUUAACCUCCGGCGACCUCCAACUCGAGCUAACAUCUGCAGCACUAUAGGAAAAAGGAAAGGAAGGGAGUAAGCAUUAUAGCUUAGUAAGUAAAUAUGUAAAUAUUAAUAAACAAUACAUUAUCAUACAUUAAACAAAGUCACAAUAUGUUCCCGGAAUAUUACCAUCACAAAUGCACAUACUUUCACUAUUACAAUUAUAAACAGAUUCAAAAUAAGUUGUCUAGCAGAGUACCAGUAGCUAAAUUAUUUAUUUCAGGAGCUACAGAACUCCAAAUUACAAACCAUAAAUUUUCCUUGAAACUAGAUUCAUGUAUAUUCUUUCCAUAAAAUUUUCAGAAUUUUUGGUCUAGCCAAUUAGUACAGUUUAUUCAUUGAAGUUAUCCCUGUUUCACUGCUCAACUGCCCUGACCACUCUUCACUACAAAUAAAUUUUCUCUUCUUAUAGAACUCAUAUGAUGUUAUCGUUUUUAUUUGAAAAUAGACUCAUUAAGGAUUUCAAACGUAUAAAUUAUAUCCCAUAAUUAUUUGUUUACAAUUUUUAAUGAUUUUUCAAAAUCAGAACAGGGGAUCACGUAGUCAUUCUGAACAAGUCUCAUAGAAACUUAAAUAUCUCAGAAUAUAGAAUUCCUUUGCUUGCUCUGUUUCUGUUAUAUGAAAAUAGACUCAUUAAGCUUUAAUUUUAUAUCUCAUUCAGUCUCUGAUUCAAUUUCUACUAUUUUUGGUAAAUUUUUAGAUUCUCGUCACUACAACUAUCCAGAACAAUUUUAUUGUCAAUUUUGAUCUUUCACACUUCAAUUGUAUUCAUCACUUACCCAUUACAAUCUUUCCAAUUUCCAAUCACAUAUCGAGCAUAUUGCUCAUAAGUUACACACGUAUAUACUUACACUUAUCAUCACAAAGUCAUACACAAUUUCAUUUAAUCAAUUUCUCAGUUGAACGCUUCGGAAUAAUAAUAGAUACGCGAUGGUAUCGCACACAGCCCACCUUUAAAAUUGAAGCUCUCUUGUACACAUAGUGGCCUUCACUUAGCACCACUCAUGUGACCUAGCUCGAUUGUACACAUAAUUCUGGCUCUCUUGUACACAUGGUGAACACUUAGUACCACCCAUGUGACCUAGCCACUUUAUCUCGUAGCUCUCUUGUUUACAUGGUGUCCUUCACUUGGAACCACACAUACAACCUAGCUACAUUUAUCUCGUAGCUCUCUUGUCUACAUGGUGUACACAUAGUAUCACCCAUGUGACCUAGCUACCUCAUAAUGUCUCGUAGCUCUCUUGUACACAUGGUAUACAUCCCGUGUGUCACAUGUGACCUAGCUACAUACCAUCUGUAUCUUUCGAUUCCGAAGGUUCAAACAGGAAGUAUCUCACUUUCUAAUACUUUAUUCCAUUCUUCUAAUAGUCAAUUAUGAUUCAAAAAUCAGCUACAAUACAUAAAAUAUGCUGAAAUAUAAAAACGUAAUAAAGAUAAUGUAUUAUUUACAUACAAGCUUACAUACUUUCUCAUUUCCAUGUCGAAUUAAUAUUGAACAUUUAAAUCAUCAUAAUUAUACUUACUUUCAACACCUCGGCAAUCAUAGUAAAUAUAUCAAUUUUACAUUGAAACAUGCAUAAAUUAAUGCUUAUUAUACAUAUGAACUUACCUCGAUACUAAAACGGCCAUUUUACCAACUUUCUCGAUUUUUUAUUUUUCUCCCAUUCUAGGUUCAAAUCUCAUUUUCCAGGAUCUAAAACAUUAUAUUUUACUUAUUUAAUUAAUGUACUAUUCAAAAUAGUCCUUAACUCAAACUUUUACAAAAUUACAAUUUUGCCCCGAAACUUUUGCAUAUGUACACUUUUGCCCCUAGGCUCGAGAAUUAAAAUUCAUCCCUUAUUCUUAUGUUUUAUGACAUGCUGAUCAUUUUCCCCUUCUAUGGAAACAUCAAAUUCUCACUCUAACACAUAGUUAUGAACAAUAACAACUUUUACCGAUUAAGCCGUUUUACUCAUUUUUGCUUAAAACCGCUUAGCAAAAGUUGUUUAACAUAAUUUCAGCCUUCAUAUUCUACCAUAAAACAUAAAAAUAAACACAUUUCACCUAUGGGUAUUUUUCCAAAUAUGAACCCUAACUUAAAUUAUUGCUAGAAUAAGCUUAAUCAAGUUACCGGGAUUCCAAAAACGUAAAGAACUUGAAAAACGGGGCUAGAACGGACUUACUAUUAAGCUUGGAAAGCUUGAAAACCCUAGCCAUGGCUUCCCCCAUGCUAAUUUCAGCCUCCGUGAGAAAUAUGAGUCAAUUUUGGCUUUAUUUUUCCUUUUUAUUUCUUUUAAUUACCAAAUGAUUAAAAUGCCCUUAAGGCCUUUCUUUAAAUUUUUGUCCUAUUCAUGCCCAUUUUUGUCUAAACGAAAUAUAAUGGUCUAAUUUUCAUUUAAGGACAUCCUCUUUAAAACCCCAUUUUAAUCAAGUACUUAUGAAUUAGAACACAUAUUUUGCAACUUUUGCAAUUUAGUCCUAAAAGUCCAAGUAAGCACUUUAUCAGUAAAAUUUCUUAACGAUAUUUUUACACAAUAUUUUAAUCAAUAAAUAAACCUUAAAAUUUAAUCGAAAUAAAUUUUUUGACUUCGAAUUCGUGGUUCUAAAACCAUCAUUCCGUUUAGGCCCUAAAUCGAGCUAUUACAGCAACUUCUGCAAAUAAGCCCUAAUAGGCAAAUUAAACAUGCAAUCUAUAAAAUUUCUUAUUAAUACUCUAAAACAUGCAUCUAAUCACUCGGUAAAUCAUAAAAAUUAAUCGAAAUGAACUUUUCUAUCUCAUAUUUGUGGUUUUGCAACCACUAUUCCAUUUAAGCCCUAUUUCGAAAUGUUACAUUUCUCCCCCCUUUAGGGAUUUUCGUCCCCAAAAAUCUUACCGGUAAAAAGAUACAAUAUCUUUUCUGAAAAUUUCUUAAACAUCUCCAAACAAAUUUUCUUCAAAGCAGUACUUUCAAAAUCACCCCACUAUCAAAUUGAAAUACAAUAUAACUAAGUUUCAACUCUGUAUGACCUCUAUAUUAAUCGAAAACUAUUUUCAAUUCUCACAUUUGCUUUCACUUUUUUUUUAACCAAAAACUCUGCAUUCAGCUAUUAAUACAGCUCAAUCAUUAUUCUUUUAUCUAAUUCUAUCAUUACUAAAUCCAAAUUAUCUCAUUCACAAUCAAAAUUUUUUUAAAAAAAAUCCAGCAAUCAUAUACUUUAAGCAUCAUACCUGGAUGAGUUAAUUAACUAAGUCUAAUCUUUCUUUAACUGUAACAUUUCAGAAUUUAGAAAAUCUUCAUAUUAACCUGACAUCUUUUCUGCAACUAAGUUCAUUUAUUAAACCAUUCUCAAAUGCUAUCACAUUGUCAAUUAAUCUUACUGGAAGGGGGUGAGGCUGUAACACUUCUAACUUGCCUCUUAUAUAUAUUCAUGCAUAUAACUUAACACUCAUCAAUAUAUAUAUAUAAUUUGCUUCAAAUAACUCAACAUGCAUAUUCAUUUUACACAACCCUCCUGUCAUCUUAUACAAACAAAUACACUUAUACAUAUGUUCAUAAUUCUCAAAUAGAAUUACUCAUAACAUUCAUUUAAUUUCACAAGUUACACUCAUAGCAUCACACAAUUGCCAAUCAACAUGAACACUUAUCAUAAUAUAAACUUUCCCUUCAUCUCAUCUUUCAUAUUCCAAGAGAAAUUCUUAUUCACGACUCAUUCAUUAUCACAUAAACAUCAUGAACUAAUACUCUUACCUUUUAAGAGUCUCAUUUCAUCUUAAUAUUAUCACAGUUAUCUAAUUCACUUUAGACAGGCUUACACACAUAUUCAUAUCUUAAAACAAAUGCACUCAAACAUACAUUCCACGAAUUUGAGUAAAUUUAUUUAUCACAUUCACUUAGUCAAAAUAAGUUAGACACAUAAUAUCAUAUCAAUGUCAAACGAACAUGGAUGAGUUUAUAACGAUGUAAACUUUCGUUUCUUUUCACUUUUCUAUAUUUCUCCACUUAUGUCUAUUUCAUUUUACGCUUGAUCUCACAUAUAUCAUCACAAGUCACCAAGAUCAAUUUUUAAGUACACCAAUAUAUCCACCAAAUUAUAUGAACUUACUUAACCCCUUUUUACACUGUCGAUGGUAGCUCGGUUGGAAAACACUUCUGUCUCAACAGAACUAUUUCAUCGGGAUCGGGAGGCAUCACACUAUCACAGGUAGUAAUAUGGCAUGUAUAGCUUAACUCUUACACAUACUAUAUUAGUCUGAGAACCGACUAAACCAUAGCUCUGAUACCACUAAAUGUAACUCCCCUUACCCGUAUCCGACGCCGGAACAGGGUACGAGGUAUUACUAGACUUGAGUACUUGUAAUCAUUUAAAACCGAGACAUAAAAUUUCAUCAAAUUUUAAACUUUUCAAACAUAUUCAAGCUGUCCCUUAAAAAAAACUUACAAGGCUCAUAUCAUGCUUUAAAACCUUUAUAUAUCGACCAAUAGUUUGAUAAUGUGAUUUAACCUCCGGCGACUUCCAACUCGAGCUAACAUCUGCGGCACUAUAGGAAAAAGGAAACGAAGGGAGUAAGCAUUAUAGCUUAGUAAGUAAAUAUGUAAAUAUUAAUAAACAAUACAUUAUUAUACAUUAAACAAAGUCACAAUAUGUUCCCGGAAUAUUACCAUCACAAACACACAUACUUUCACUAUUACAAUUAUAAACACGUUCAAAAUAAGCUGUCUAGCAGAGUAUCAGCAGCUAAAUUAUUUAUUUCUGGAGCUACAGAACUCCAAAUUACAAACCGUAAAUUUUUAUUGAAACUAGAUUCAUGUAUAUUCUUACCAUAAAAUUUUUAGAAUUUUUGGUCUAGCCAAUUAGUACAGUUUAUUCAUUGAAGUUACCCCUAUUUCACUGCUCAACUGCCCUGACCACUCUUCACUACAAAUGGAUUUUAUCUUCUUAUAGAACUCAUAUGAUGUUAUCGUUUUUUUAUUUGAAAAUAGACUCAUUAAGGAUUUCAAACAUAUAAAUUAUAUCUCAUAGUUAUUUAUGUACAAUUUUUAAUGAUUUUUAAAAAUCAGAACAGGGGAUCACGUAGUUAUUCUGACCAGUCUCAUAGAAACUUAAAUAUCUCAGAAUAUAGAAUUCCUUUGCUUGCUAUGUUUCUUUUAUAUGAAAAUAGACUCAUUAAUCUUUAAUUUGAUAUCUCAUUCAAUCUUUGAUUCAAUUUAUACUAUUUUUUGUAAAUUUUUAGAUUCUCGUCACUGCAACUAUCCAGAACAGUUUUAUUGUCAAUUUUGAUCUUUCACACUUCAAUUGUAUUCAUCACUUACCCAUAACAAUCUUUCAAAUUUCCAAUCACAUAUCGAGCAUAUUGCUCAUAAGUUGCACACGUAUAUACUUACACUUAUCAUCACAAAGUCAUACACAAUUUCAUUUAAUCAAUUUCUCAGUUGAACGCUUUGGAAUAAUAACAGAUACACAAUGGUAUCGCACACAUCCCACCUUUAAAAUCGAAGCUCUCUUGCACACAUAAUUUCCUUCACUUAGCACCACUCAUGUGACCUAGCUUGAUUGUACACAUAAUUUUGGCUCUCUUGUACACAUGGUGAACACUUAGUACCACCCAUGUGACCUAGCCACUUUAUCUCGUAGCUUUCUUGUUUACAUGGUGUCCUUCACUUGGAACCACACAUGCAGCCUAGCUACAUUUAUCUCGUAGCUCUCUUGUCUACAUGGUGUACACAUAGUAUCACCCAUGCAACCUAGCUACCUCAUAAUGUCUCGUAGCUCUCUUGUACACAUGGUAUACAUCCCGUAUUACACAUGUGACCUAGCUACAUACCAUUUGUAUCAUUAGAUUCCAUAGGUUCAAACGGGAAGUAUCUCACUUUCUAAUACUUUAUUUCAUUCUUCUAAUAGUCAAUUAUGAUUCAAAAAUCAGCUACAAUACAUAAAAUAUGCUAAAAUAUAAAAAUGUAAUAAAGAUAAUGUAUUAUUUACAUACAAACUUACAUACUUUCUCAUUUCCAUGUCGAAUUAAUAUUAAACAUUUAAAUCAUCAUAAUUAUACUUACUUUCAACACCUCGGCAAUCAUAGUAAAUAUAUCAAUUUUACAUUGAAACAUGCAUAAAUUAAUGCUUAUUAUACAUAUGAACUUACCUCGAUACUAAAACGGCCAUUUUACCAACUUUCCCGAUUUUCGAUUUUUCUUCCAUUCUAGGUUCAAAUCUCGUUUUCCAGAAUCUAAAACAUCAUAUUUUACUUAUUUAAUUAAUGUACUAUUCAAAACAGUCCUUAACUCAAACUUUUUCAAAAUUAUAAUUUUGCCCCUAAACUUUUGCAUAUUUACACUUUUGCCCCUAGGCUCGGGAAUUAAACUUCAUCCCUUAUUCUUAUGUUUUAUAACAUGCUGGUCAUUUUUCCCUUCUAUGGAAACAUCAAAUUCUCACUCUAACACAUAGUUAUGAAAAAUAACAACUUUUACCAAUUAAGCCGUUUUACUCAUUUUUGCUUAAAACCGCUUAGCAAAAGUUGUUUAACAUAAUUUCAACCUUCAUAUUCUAUCAUAAAACAUCAAAAUAAACACAUUUCACCUAUGGGUAUUUUUUCCAAAUAUGAACCCUAGCUUAAAUUAUUGCUAGAAUAAGCUUAAUCAAGUUAUCGGGAUUCCAAAAACGUAAAGAACUUGAAAAACGGGGCUAGAACGGACUUACUAUUGAGCUUAGAAAGCUUAGAAAGCUUGAAAACCCUAGCCAUGGCUUUCCCCAUGCUAAUUUCGGCCUCCAUGAAAAAUAUGAGUAAAUUUUGGCUUUAUUUUCCCUUUUUAUUUCUUUUGGCCUUUCUUUAAAAUUUUGUCCUAUUCAUGCCCAUUUUUGUCCAAAUGAAAUAUAAUGGUCUAAUUACCAUUUAAGGACAUCCUCUUUAAAACCCCAUUUCAAUCAAGUACUUAUGAAUUAGAACACAUAUUUUGCAACUUUUGCAAUUUAAUCCUAAAAGUCCAAUUAAGCACUUUAUCAAUAAAAUUUCUUAACGAUAUUUUUACACAAUAUUUUAAUCAAUAAAUAAACCUUAAAACUUAAUCAGAAUAAAUUUUUUGACUUUGAAUUCGUGGUUCUAAAACCAUCGUUCCGUUUAGGCCCUAAAUCGGGCUAAUAUAGCAACUUCUGCAAAUAAGCCCUAAUAGGCAAAUUAAACAUGCAAUCUAUAAAAUUUCUUAUCAAUACUCUAACACGUGCAUCUAAUCACUCGAUAAAUCAUAAAAAUUAAUCGAAAUAAACUUUUCUAUCUCAGAUUUGUGGUUUCGCAACCACUACUCCAUUUAGGCCCUGUUUCGAGAUGUUACAACAAACGCUUAUAAUUGUGGCAUUAGAGAUGACGUAGGAUUCCUUCUCGAUUCUCUGCCCAAGGAUGACUCCUCCAUUGUGAUCAGUUGCAUCAUACAUGAUCUCGAAGGGAUAAUCCCAAUUCGGUGGCUACACUAUGAGAGUUGAAACAAGCUUAUGCUUGAGAGUAUUGAAUGUGUCCUUGCACGCUUGAUCAAAUUUGACCCCUGUCUUUUUACAAGAGAUUACAAAGCAGUUGUGAAAUCUUCGAAAAAUCCUUAAUAAAACGUGUAACACCCCGAACCCGAAACCGACACCGGAGUCGAACACGAGGUGUUAACUGACUUUAACCCCUUAUAAAAUUUAUUUUCCAGACACUGCCAAAUCUGUGUACUAGUCGUUUUAAAAAUCAUAUCUUGAGUUUCGUAACUUGAAAAUCAGUUUCGUAAUUUUUCCCAGAAACUAGACUCAUGUUCCCAUCUAUGUAUUUUUUUCUAGAAUUUUUGGUCGGGCCAAUUAGUACAGUUUAUUAGUCAAAUUCUCCCAUGUUGCAGGGGUCGACUACACUGACCUUUGCCCAUUACGACUUAGAUAUCUCCCUGCACAGGGCUUCAAUACUGAUGCCGUUUGUUUCUAUGAAAACUAGACUCAGAGACGAAUCUAUACAUAUAUGGUACGACCCCUAAUUAUCUCUGGUUAAUUUAUAAUGAAUUUCAAAAGUCGGAGCAGGGAAUCCAGAAACCGUUCUGGCCCUGUCCCACAAAAAUCUGAUUAUCUCUUAAUAUACUGCCCAUAUGAUCUUUUCGUUACUUCCUCAUGAAAACAGACUCAUCGAGCUUCGAUUACAUAAUUUAUUCAUCAAUUAAUUCCACUCCUACUAUUUUUAGUGAUUUUUCAAUCUCAUGACACUGCUGCUGCCAGCAUCUGUUACGAAAGUAACUAGGUCCAUUUCAUGCCUACCCUUGAUCCAACUCAAUCGAACAUUCGUGCCAUUUUCGCAUGGCUUAAAGUUUACAUGCCAAAGUUCAAACACAACGUAAUAGCUUAUACAUGCCAAAAUGUUCUUCUAAGCCAACUAAGAAGAAAGUACCAAAACUUGCUAUCCGGUGUGAUGACUUCGAUGACGGCCCGAUCACGCAAAAAGAGAUGUGUCCAAGAAACCUAGAAUAGGUGACAAGGAAACACCGAGUGAGUUUAUAACUUAGUAAGUCAUAAGCUAUGCACUACCAUCCAUCCAUAACAUUAUCACAAGAGAAAACAAAAUGGAACGAGGCUAAUUACUCCAUCCAUUCCGAACCAUACCAUAGUUCCUCCAACCUAUCGAUUCAAUUUCAUAUCAAUUCAUGCAUUCACAUUCCAUAUACUCAUCAAUAGGACAUUGAAGCAUUUUCAUAAAUCAAUUUAUUUUCGUUACAAUCAAACGACUAAACGGCCUUUCACCCAUCCUACGAUAAAUUUUAUGUACGUGACUUCAAGUAUGGUUGUCACAUAGGUUCAAACUUACCGAGCUCAACACCAAGUAUAAGCAUAGCACCUAUUAGCCAUGUACUCAAGACACUUACCCGAUCCGCUGUCCGCGAUCGACUCAAUAGUGUCGCACACAUAGUGUCCAUAAUGAUUCACGAAUGCAUAUUGAGUCCGCACACUCAGUGCUAUAUAAUCAACUCGCACACUUAGUGCUACGUAAUCAAAUCGCACACUUAGUGCUACAUAGUCAAACUCGCACACUUAGUGCCGCAUGGUCAAUUCGCACACUUAGUGCAUCAUAUUCAUUUCGCACACUUAGUGCAACAUAGUCAAAUCGCACACUUAGUGUUGUACAAUUUAAUCCCGCGCACUUAGCCCCAAUCUCAUGGUCAUAAAUGGUUAUACCCGCACGUUUAGUGCCGAGAUCAACAACUCAGUACAUCUUACCUCUUUUCUUUUCAUUCAACAAUUUCAUCAUCACAUACGUACAUGCAUAUAUAUAUAUGUAUAUUUAUUCAUUCCAUUCAGCAUCAAUACAUAAACAUUAAGACCAUUUGAAAUAAUACCAACUACAUGCUUAAUGACUUACCUUGUGUUGGGUAAGACGGUUCCAACUCGACUACUCAGUGAUCUUUUCUUUGCCUUUAUCGGAUCUAGUUCCCUUUUGCUCUUGAGCUUAAGUUCGACAAAAUUUAAAAUAGUCAUUAAUCGACUAUUCAAGUAUUACUUUCAGAAUAAUAUAUAUAUUGAUUUGACCUUCACACACAUAGAUUAUAGUAAGCUUUAUAAUAGUCAAUAAAUAACUCAUUGGCAAAUUUUCAUUAAUGUUUACAACAAAAUCACAUAUUCACUACGAGUUGUUUUCCUGAGCAGUAGUCGCUAAAUUGUUUAUAACUGGAGCUACAAAACUCCAAAUCACUAGCCGUUAAUUUUCCCUGAAUAUAGACUCGUAUAUCUUCCAUCCAUAAAAUUUUCAGAAUUUUUGGCUUGGCCAAUCAAUACCAGAUUUUUCUUAAAGUUUCCCCUGUUUCACUGUUUGACUAUUCUGACCACUCUUCACUACGAAUCAAAUUUCUCAUUUUACAGAAUUCAAAAUGUGUUGUAUUUGAUCUCAUUUGAAACUAGACUCAUUAAGGAGUCUAAGCAUAUAAAUUUUAUCUUAUAAUCAUUUUUGUACAAUUUAUAAUGAUUUCCUAAAAACAAAACAGGGAAUCUAGUAGUCAUUUUGACUCAGCCCCACAAUACUUCAAAUAUCUCAAGAUCGGUAACUCUUUUGUUUUUAUAGUUUCUUUUAUAAGAAAAUAGGCUCUUCAAGCUUUAAUGGCAUAAUUCACUCAGCUUCUAAUUCAACUCCUACAAAUUAUGGCGAUUUUCCAAAAUCACCUUACUGCUGCUGUCCCCAAACAGAUUAUUACCAAAUCAAAUACUAACAUUAGCAUUUCACCUUAAUAGCUAGCUUACCAAGCCUUAAUUUAACAUAUUAAUCUUUAACAUAUCUUUCACUUUUCAUCAACAACUAUCAAAAAGCUCAAGCACUCAUCAAUGGCAAAACACAAAAUCAUCAUCAAUCCACAAAAUUGAACCAUGGGUUUUUAGAACUCAAGUCAACUACUAAAACAUGCAUGCAUCUCAAGAACAACAUCAAACAUACCUUAGUCUAGCAAACCACCAUAGCCGAUUUUCUCAAGCUCUUCCCCUUCCUUUCUUUCCUCUAUUCGGCCAAAGGUGUUCAAGAAUGAACACAUUUUUUUUUGUUUUCUUUCCUCAACUCACGGCAACAAGAGGGGGUAUGGAUGAGACCAUUUUUUUUUCAUCACCCUUCCUUUUCAUUGUUUAAUUACCAUGCUCUUUAUUUUAUUUUUCUUAGCAUACAUCACUAGCAUAACAUGUUGGUGACAUGUUUCCACCCAUAGCAUGGCCAGCCACUAUGCUUUAAUUUGGCUAAUUUGACAUGCAAGGACAAACACUUUCCCACAUAUAUUAAUGGGCCACUUGAACACUUGCCUAGCAUAUUUCUAAAUUGUCUCACAUAAGUCCCUACUAAUAAAUUUCACAUACACUGACCAAAUUAAAGUACGGAACUAUCACACAAGCAUUUACGCACAUCAUAAACACAGAAUAUAAUCUUUAAUUAUUUAUAAGACUCGGUUUUGUGGUCCCGAAACCACUUCCCGACUAGGGUCAAUUUUGGGCUGUCACAACUCUCCCCCACUUAAGAAAUUUUCGUCCCCGAAAAUCUUACCGGUAAAUAGGUUUGGAUAUCGUUCUUUCAUCGAGCUCUCGGUUUCCCAAGUAGCUUCCUCGAUCCCGUGUUUGAGCCAUAACACCUUUACUAGCGGAACUCUUUUGUUUCGUAACUCCUUCACUUCACGAGCUAGGAUACGCAUCGGUUCUUCUUCAUAACUCAUAUCGGCUUGAAUUUCAACCUCUGAUGGGCUAAUUAUGUGCGAUGGAUCAGAUCUAUAGCGUCGAAGCAUCGAAACAGGAAAGACGUCAUGGAUCUUUUCAAGCUCAGGGGGCAAAAUCAAUCUAUACGCAACUGGCCCCACUCGUUCGGAGAUUUCGUACGGCCCAAUGAAUCUCGGGCUCAACUUGCCCUUACGGCCAAACCUAAGUACCUUUUUCCAAGGCGAAACUUUAAGAAACACUUUAUCUCCCACCUGAUAUUCAAUGUCUUUUCGUUUUAAAUCCGCAUACGAUUUCUGACGAUCUGUGGCUGCUUUCAGACUUUCACGGAUUACCUUUACUUUCUGUUCGGCAUCUUUAAUCAAAUCAACUCCGAAAAUUUUACUUUCACCGAGCUCGGUCCAAAACAAUGGUGUACGGCAUUUACGACCGUACAAAGCCUCGUAAGGUGCCAUCUUAAUACUUGAUUGAAAACUAUUGUUGUAAGCGAAUUCAAUCAAAGGUACAUACCGUUCCCAUGAACCACUAAACUCAAGGAUGCAGCAUCUCAGCAUAUCCUCGAGUAUCUGAAUUAUCCGCUCGGAUUGACCAUCGGUUUGGGGAUGAAAAGCGGUGCUAAAAUGCAGCUUGGUACCCAAAGCUUCUUACAAUUUCUUCCAAAAUCGCGAGGUGAAUCUCGGAUCUCUAUCCGACACGAUAGAAAUAGGUACUCCAUGUAACCUCACAAUCUGAGAAACAUACAAUUCGCCUAGUUUAUCCAAUGAAAAAUCCGUACGCACGGGGAUAAAGUGAGCCGACUUAGUCAGCCUAUCAACAACAAUCCAAAUCGCAUCCUUCUUACUUGCGGACAAUGGCAGUCCGGACACAAAGUCCAUUGUGACUCGGUCCCAUUUCCACUCGGGUAUCAUGAUCGGCUGAAGUAACCCUGAAGGCACUUGAUGUUCCGCUUUCACUUGUUGACAUAUUAAACAUCUCGAAACAAAGUCGGAGAUGUCUCGUUUCAUACCAUGCCACCAAAACUGACGUUUCAAGUCGUUGUACAUUUUCGUACUCCCCGGGUGAAUUGACAUUCGGCUACAAUGGGCUUCGUUCAGAAUCAUCGGAAUGAGUUCCGAAUUCCUUGGAACACACAAACGACUUCUAAACCUCAAACAACCAUCAUCAUCAAUCUGAAACUCCGAUCCCUUGUUCGGAACACACUCAGCUCGUUUUGCAACCAAUUCAUCAUCGACUUCCUGAGCUUCAAGAAUUUGAUGAGUCAAUAAUGGUUUGGCUUUUAAUUCAGCUACUAACACAUUGUCAGAUAGAACAGACAAGUGUACAUUCAUCGCUUGCAAAGCAAACAGUGAUUUCCGGCUUAAGGCGUCCGCAACCACAUUAGCCUUUCCCGGGUGGUAAUCAAUGACAAGCUCGUAAUCUUUCAACAACUCAAGCCAACGUCUUUGUCGCAGAUUCAAGUCUCGUUGAGUCAUCAAAUAUUUGAGACUUUUGUGAUCCGAAAACACAUGGCACUUCUCACCAAACAAAUAAUGUCGCCAUAUUUUCAAUGCAAACACAAUGGCGGCUAGUUCGAGAUCAUGGGUCGGAUAAUUUCUCUCGUGUGGCUUUAAUUGUCUUGACGCAUAGGCCACAACUCGACCUUCUUGCAUCAAUACGCAACCCAACCCAACCCAAGUAGGGAUGCGUCACUAUAAAUGACAAACUCUUUACCCGAUUCGGGUUGCACCAAAAUUGGAGCUUCAGUCAAAUGAGUUUUCAGUUGAUCGAAGCUUUUCUGACAUUUCUCCGUCCAUUCGAACUUAACAUCCUUUUGAAGUAGCUUCGUCAUUGGUGUGGCUAUCAUCGAGAAACCUUUGACAAAUCGUCGGUAAUAACCGGCGAGCCCUAGAAAGCUCCGGACUUCGGUAACAUUUCUCGGAGGCUUCCAGUUAAGUAUGGCUGAAAUUUUGCUCGGGUCAACUUGAAUACCCGAUGCGGAUACCACAUGACCCAAGAAGCUAACCUCUCUUAACCAGAACUCACACUUACUGAACUUAGCAUAUAACUGCUUAUCCCGCAAAAUUUGCAACACUUGCCUCAGAUGCUCAGCAUGUUCGGUCUCAUCUCUUGAAUAGACCAAGAUGUCAUCAAUAAACACAACUACGAACCGAUCCAAAUACGGCCUGAAGAUCUGAUUCAUCAAAUCCAUAAACACCGCAGGGGCAUUAGUGAGCCCGAACGGCAUCACUAAGAACUCGUAGUGACCGUACCUCGUUCUGAAAGCAGUUUUGGGUACGUCCGAAUCUCGAAUCCGCAACUGAUAAUAACCCGAUCUCAAAUCUAUCUUUGAAAACACCGAUGCUCCCUUUAAUUGAUCGAACAGAUCAUCAAUACGCGGUAACGGAUACUUAUUCUUUAUCGUCACUUUAUUCAGUUAACGAUAGUCAAUGCACAACCUCAUGGUUCCGUCCUUCUUUUUCACGAACAAUACUGGUGCACCCCAAGGUGAGAAACUCGGUCGAGCGAAACCUCUAUCCGUCAAUUCUUGCAACUGAGCUUUCAACUCUUUUAACUCGGUUAGUGCCAUACGAUACGGAGCGAUCGAAAUUGGCGUAGUUCCAGGUACAAGCUCAAUACCAAACUCUACCUCCCGAACAGGUGGCAAACCCGGUAACUCUUCAGGAAAAACAUCCGGGUAUUCACAAACCACCGGCACCGAUUCGGGUUUCUUUUCUAACUCCUUGUCAUCAAGUACAUACGCGAGGUAUGGUUCGCACCCUUUCCUUACAUAUUUCUGGGUCAACAUUGCUGAUAUUACAGCUGGCAACCCCCUUAAGUCCGCAGACUCAACUCGGAUUAUUUCGUUAUUUGUGCACCUCAAAUCAAUAGUCUUGCUUUUGCAAUUCACAACCGCAUCAUGCGCGGUUAACCAAUCCAAACCAAGAAUAACAUCAAACUCGUCGAACGGCAAAAGCAUCAAAUCGGCCGGAAAACAGGAUUCUCGGAUUAUUAGAGGGCAUCUCUUACACACUUUAUCAACAAGUACGCAUUGACCCAAAGGGUUUGAUACUCGAAUUACGAGCUCAGUAGACUCAACAGGUAGAGUCUUACUGGUUACUAAGGUUUUGCAUACAUAUGAAUGAGUAGAACCAGGGUCAAUCAAUGCAAUCACAUUAGUAUCAAAGAGAGUGAAGGUACCAGUGAUGACGUCGGGGGAGGAUGCCUCCUCUCGUGCGCGAAUGGCAUAUGCUCUAGCAGGAGUACGGUUCUCGGCUCGAUCGGCCGUAUCAGAGGCCCCCCUCUGACUACCACCCCUGCCUUCUAAAAUUCUCGGUGGUCUACCUCUAGAUGUCACUCCACUAGGUCUUGCACCUUGAAUCUUAUUCUUCUCAUCCAGCUCCGUGCAAUCUCUAAUGAAGUGGUCCUUCGAACCGCAUCCGUAACAGGCCCUGCUAGUAGACUUGCCCCAACAUUCACCUAGGUGUCGUCUUCCACAUUGGGGACAUUCAGGUUUCUCGUGACGAUUAUUGCCCACACUAGCUACCGAAGUAGCUCGGGAGCCCAUCGAUGGUCUUGCCUUGAUGGAAAUUCCCGCAGUCGCCCUCGACUUAUUAAUGUCCUCCCUGAACUUCUUUACAGCUGAGAACGGAGCUUUACCCGUCGAUCUUUUACGAUAAUCUCUAACUUCAAAUUCAGCCUUCCUCUUCUCCUUUCCAAGUUCUUCCGCCUUGCAGGCUCGUUCGACUAGUGUUACGAAUUCUUUUAUUUCCAAAAUACCCAUUAGUAGCUUUAAAUCUUCAUUCAAUCCUUCCUCGAAUCUUUUGCACAUAGCAACCUCAUCAGCUACACACUCCCGGGCAUACCUACUGAGUCUUACGAAUUCAUGUUCGUAUUCAGAUACAGUCAUACGGCCUUGCUUGAGUUCCAAGAACUCCUUACGCUUCUGAUCAAUGAACCGUUGGCUAAUAAAUUACUUUCGGAAUUCCGUUUGAAAGAAGUCCCAAGUUACUCGCUCGUUCGGGACUAUGGAAAUCAAGGUCCUCCACCAAUAGUAGGCUGAGUCUCGCAACAAAGAUACAGCACAUUUUAGACAUUCGUCAGGUGUGCGUGACAAUUCAUCGAACACCCGAAUGGUGUUAUCAAGCCAGAACUCGGCCCUUUCGGCAUCAUCAGUUACUAUGGCCUUGAACUCCUCGGCCCCACGCUUCCUAAUCAAGUCUACAGGUGGCUUACUCAGCCUCACAGGAUCAGCGACUGAUGGCAUUACAGGCUCUUGGGGUGGAUUAUUCAAAUUUGGGAAUUGUUGGACAGCCGGGUUGGUUCGGGCAUAUUGCGCGACCCACUCAUUCAUCAUGGUAAAGAAGGCUUGUUUAGCCCCCUCACCUUGAUUAUUCGCAGAUGACUGAGGUUCAACAGGCGGCGUCCCUUGUGCAGGAGCAGCCGCUACGCUCUCAACGUCAUCCGCUAGGGUUCUUUCUACACCGGGAUCCAUUUACUAAUCAAAACAAAAACAUUUCAACCGUCAGAAGUCAUCACCCUUUUAAACAUUAACAUUAAGGCAUGUAUAGCUAGACUCAUACGUGCUAUGGUAGUCCUAGAACCGACUAAACCAUAGCUCCGAUACCAAUCAAAUGUAACACCCCGAACCCGAAACCGACACCGGAGUCGAACACGAGGUGUUAACUGACUUUAACCCCUUAUAAAAUUUAUUUUCCAGACACUGCCCAAUCUGUGUACUAGUCGUUUUAAAAAUCAUAUCUUGAGUUUCGUAACUUGAAAAUCAGUUUCGUCAUUUUUCCCAGAAACUAGACUCAUGUUCCCAUCUAUGUAUUUUUUUCUAGAAUUUUUGGUCGGGCCAAUUAGUACAGUUUAUUAGUCAAAGUCUCCCAUGUUGCAGGGGUCGACUACACUGACCUUUGCCCAUUACGACUUGGAUAUCUCCCUGCACGGGGCUUCAAUACUGAUGCCGUUUGUUUCUAUGAAAACUAGACUCAGAGAGGAAUCUAUACAUAUAUGGUACGACCCAUAAUUAUCUCUGGUUAAUUUAUAAUGAAUUUCAAAAGUCAGAGCAGGGAAUCCAGAAACCGUUCUGGCCCUGUCCCACAAAAAUCUGAUUAUCUCUUAAUAUACUGCCCAUAUGAUCUUUUCGUUACUUCCUCAUGAAAACAGACUCAUCGAGCUUCGAUUACAUAAUUUAUUCAUCAAUUAAUUCCACUCCUACUAUUUUUAGUGAUUUUUCAAUCUCAUGACACUGCUGCUGCCAGCAUCUGUUACGAAAGUAACUAGGUCCAUUUCAUGCCUACCCUUGAUCCAACUCAAUCGAACAUUCGUGCCAUUUUCGCAUGGCUUAAAGUUUACAUGCCAAAGUUCAAACACAACGUAAUAGCUUAUACAUGCCAAAAUGUUCUUCUAAGCCAACUAAGAAGAAAGUACCAAAACUUGCUAUCCGGUGUGAUGACUUCGAUGACGGCCCGAUCACGCAAAAAGAGAUGUGUCCAAGAAACCUAGAAUAGGUGACAAGGAAACACCGAGUGAGUUUAUAACUCAGUAAGUCAUAAGCUAUGCACUACCAUCCAUCCAUAACAUUAUCACAAGAGAAAACAAAAUGGAACGAGGCUAAUUACUCCAUCCAUUCCGAACCAUACCAUAGUUCCUCCAACCUAUCGAUUCAAUUUCAUAUCAAUUCAUGCAUUCACAUUCCAUAUACUCAUCAAUAGGACAUUGAAGCAUUUUCAUAAAUCAAUUUAUUUUCGUUACAAUCAAACGACUAAACGGCCUUUCACCCAUCCUACGUUAAAUUUUAUGUACGUGACUUCAAGUAUGGUUGUCACAUAGGUUCAAACUUACCGAGCUCAACACCAAGUAUAAGCAUAGCACCUAUUAGCCAUGUACUCAAGACACUUACCCGAUCCGCUGUCCGCGAUCGACUCAAUAGUGUCGCACACAUAGUGUCCAUAAUGAUUCACGAAUGCAUAUUGAGUCCGCACACUCAGUGCUAUAUAAUCAACUCGCACACUUAGUGCUACGUAAUCAAAUCGCACACUUAGUGCUACAUAGUCAAACUCGCACACUUAGUGCCGCAUGGUCAAUUCGCACACUUAGUGCAUCAUAUUCAUUUCGCACACUUAGUGCAACAUAGUCAAAUCGCACACUUAGUGCUGUACAAUUUAAUCCCACGCACUUAGCGCCAAUCUCAUGGUCAUAAAUGGUUAUACCCGCACGUUUAGUGCCGAGAUCAACAACUCAGUACAUCUUACCUCUUUUCUUUUCAUUCAACAAUUUCAUCAUCACAUACGUACAUGCAUAUAUAUAUAUGUAUAUUUAUUCAUUCCAUUCAGCAUCAAUACAUAAACAUUAAGACCAUUUGAAAUAAUACCAACUACAUGCUUAAUGACUUACCUUGUGUUGGGUAAGACGGUUCCAACUCGACUACUCAGUGAUCUUUUCUUUGCCUUUAUCGGAUCUAGUUCCCUUUUGCUCUUGAGCUUAAGUUCAACAAAAUUUAAAAUAGUCAUUAAUCGACUAUUCAAGUAUUACUUUCAGAAUAAUAUAUAUAUUGAUUUGACCUUCACACACAUAGAUUAUAGUAAGCUUUAUAAUAGUCAAUAAAUAACUCAUUGGCAAAUUUUCAUUAAUGUUUACAACAAAAUCACAUAUUCACUACGAGCUGUUUUCCUGAGUAGUAGUCGCUAAAUUGUUUAUAACUGGAGCUACAAAACUCCAAAUCACUAGUCGUUAAUUUUCCCUGAAUAUAGACUCGUAUAUCUUCCAUCCAUAAAAUUUUCAGAAUUUUUGGCUUGGCCAAUCAAUACCAGAUUUUUCUUAAAUUUUCCCCUGUUUCACUGUUUGACUAUUCUGACCACUCUUCACUACGAAUCAAAUUUCUCAUUUUACAGAAUUCAAAAUGUGUUGUAUUUGAUCUCAUUUGAAACUAGACUCAUUAAGGAGUCUAAGCAUAUAAAUUUUAUCUUAUAAUCAUUUUUGUACAAUUUAUAAUGAUUUCCUAAAAACAAAACAGGGAAUCUAGUAGUCAUUUUGACUCAGCCCCACAAUACUUCAAAUAUCUCAAGAUCGGUAACUCUUUUGUUUUUAUAGUUUCUUUUAUAAGAAAAUAGGCUCUUCAAGAUUUAAUGGCAUAAUUCACUCAGCUUCUAAUUCAACUCCUACAAAUUAUGGCGAUUUUCCAAAAUCACCUUACUGCUGCUGUCCCCAAAUAGAUUAUUACCAAAUCAAAUACUAACAUUAGCAUUUCACCUUAAUAGCUAGCUUACCAAGCCUUAAUUUAACAUAUUAAUCUUUAACAUAUCUUUCACUUUUCAUCAACAACUAUCAAAAAGCUCAAGCACUCAUCAAUGGCAAAACACAAAAUCAUCAUCAAUCCAUAAAAUUGAACCAUGGGUUUUUAGAACUCAAGUCAACUACUAAAACAUGCAUGCAUCUCAAGAACAACAUCAAACAUACCUUAGUCUAGCAAACCACCAUAGCCGAUUUUCUCAAGCUCUUCCCCUUCCUUUCUUUCCUCUAUUCGGCCAAAGGUGUUCAAGAAUGAACACAUUUUUUUUUUGUUUUCUUUCCUCAACUCACGGCAACAAGGGGGGUAUGGAUGAGACCAUUUUUUUUUUCAUCACCCUUCCUUUUCAUUGUUUAAUUACCAUGCUCUUUAUUUUAUUUUUCUUAGCAUACAUCACUAGCAUAACAUGUUGGUGACAUGUUUCCACCCAUAGCAUGGCCAGCCACUAUGCUUUAAUUUGGCUAAUUUGACAUGCAAGGACAAACACUUUCCCACAUAUAUUAAUGGGCCACUUGAACACUUGCCUAGCAUAUUUCUAAAUUGUCUCACAUAAGUCCCUACUAAUAAAUUCCACAUACACUGACCAAAUUAAAGUAUGGAACUAUCACACAAGCAUUUACGCACAUCAUAAACACAGGAUAUAAUCUUUAAUUAUUUAUAAGACUCGGUUUUGUGGUCCCGAAACCACUUCCCGACUAGGGUCAAUUUUGGGCUGUUACAAAACGCUUGUAAAAACUUACAUGGCCAAGAAAAGAAAGGAUUUCCCUUACAAUCGUGGGGUAUGGAAGUGAGUUAAUAACAUCAGGUUUGACCUUAUCAACCGUAAUCUCUUCAACAGGGACAACAUGACCUGAAUUGAAUCCCUUAUCAACCAUAAAAUGACAUUUUUCAUAGUUUAGAAUGAGAUUAAAUUAUAGACAUCUUUCCAAAAUCUUACUGAGGUUUGAUAGACAUUCAUUGAAAGAAUCACCAUACACCGUGAAGUCAUCCAUAAAUACAUAAAUUAUUUUCUCGACAUAGUUUGAAAAUAUGCUUACCAUACACCUCUAAAAUGUGGCCAAUAUGGAAAAAAGGACAUGCAAACAUCUUCUUUUCUUGGUCUAUAGGUAAAUGUGCCAAAAGGACAUGUGAAUGUCUUCUUUUCUUAGUCUUCCAGUGCUACUAGAAUUUGGAAGAAACUUGAAUAGUCACCAAGACAGCAAUAGUGAGAUUUACUGGCUAAGCAUUCGAGCAUUUAGCCAAUGAAAGGAAGUGGAAAUUGGCUUUUCAAGUUAAAACAUUUAACUUCUUGUAGUUUAUAUAGACUUUCCACUCGUUUUAGACCCGAGAGGGAACCAAUUCAGAAAGUUAGGAAUUGAGCAUCAAUUAAUCUCUGGAAUGAUUUCUGACCACUAAAACCUGGUCAAUGAAGGGUGAAAACUCAAGACAUCAACAUAAAUUAUAUGAAUGUUUCAGACUUAAUAGAUAUGGACACUUUUACUUGGAAAUCUGAAGUAUUGAGGGCUUUAUUUGAUGACAAACAAGUGAGAAGGAUAUUGGCAAUCCCAUUGGCUAGUAGUGCACAGACGAAUGAAGUAGUGUGGCAUAAAGGCAACACUAGCGUCUAUAAAGCUAAAAGAGGAUACAAGUGGCUAGUUACAGAGGAAUUGGAUUUGCUAGGAUAUGAUCACACAACACAUUCUACAGUACUAAAAGCUUUCUAUAGUUGUAGAAUUUAAAUAUCCCAUGCAAAAUCAGGAUUGCAAUGUGGAAAAUUGCCAAUGGGUAUUUUCCUACGCUACAAAUGUUAAAAAAAACGAUAGCAAUAGAAAGCCUUUUUCCUAUCUACCAAACUGAGGAGGAAUCAGUAGAGCACCUGUUUCAGGAAUGUUAGUUCACGUAACAAAUCCUGUAGAGGAUUGGUGUGGUGUUCUCAACCACAAAUGGAAAGCAAAAUUGGAAACUUUGGUUGGUAGAAGAGUUUAUAAACAACAGCUGCUCUAUGUGCAAAACAAUAGCUAUUAGCUAUUGGGCAUUAUGGUACAAUCGAAACAAGGUAAAUUAUGAGGGGGCAAGGAAACAAAUGCAUGAAGUACUAGCUUUUAUCAAUGCUCAUAUUUUAGAGAUGAAAAAAUUAGAAGAUAUAACAGUACCAAUGUAAAACCCUCGAGUUAGUAAAUGGAAGCCACUAGAAGGUGAUAGUGUUAAAGCUCAUUUCAUCAACAGUUAAAUAAAUCAGUCUAGGUGAUUUUAAUUAGAAACAGGGAGGGCCUAGUUAUGGCAACGUGUACUUACCUGAAUGAGCGUGUUAAAAUCAACCAUGGAAAAAGCGCGAGCAUGUUUGAAACCUGUAAUUUUCGUGAAGGAACUAGGGUUUAGAAGGAUUUUGGUAGAAGGGGACAUCUUAACUGUUUUGAAGAGAGUAAGGACCGUAGAGGAGGAUAAAUCAAAUAUCAGUAAUCUAGUCAAGGAAGUAAAAGAAAGGAUUUGUAGGUUUGAAAAAAAUAGAAUUUCGAAACGUACCUUAGAAAGCUAAUGAAGUUUGGCAGAGGAAGGUAGGCGUUAUGAAAACCCCAA